RNAcentral lists this ribosomal RNA (441 nucleotides) under uncultured Methylophilaceae bacterium. RNAcentral describes it as "bacterial SSU rRNA". It matches the Rfam family "Bacterial small subunit ribosomal RNA", at positions 941 to 1382 of the family's 1533-position model. Lineage: Bacteria; Pseudomonadati; Pseudomonadota; Betaproteobacteria; Nitrosomonadales; Methylophilaceae. The record is from RNAcentral.
GUGGUUUAAUUCGAAGCAACGCGAAGAACCUUACCUGGCCUUGACAUGCUGAGAACUUUCCAGAGAUGGAUUGGUGCUCGAAAGAGAACGCUAACACAGGUGCUGCAUGGCUGUCGUCAGCUCGUGUCGUGAGAUGUGGGUUAAGUCCCGCAACGAGCGCAACCCUUGCCAUUAAUUGCCAUCAUUUAGUUGGGCACUUUAAUGGGACUGCCGGUGACAAACCGGAGGAAGGUGGGGAUGACGUCAAGUCCUCAUGGCCCUUAUGGCCAGGGCUUCACACGUAAUACAGUGGUCGGUACAGAGGGUUGCCAAGCCGCGAGGUGGAGCCAAUCCCAGAAAGCCGAUCGUAGUCCGGAUUGUAGUCUGCAACUCGACUACAUGAAGUCGGAAUCGCUAGUAAUCGCGGAUCAGCAUGUCGCGGUGAAUACGUUCCCGGGCCUU